RNAcentral lists this ribosomal RNA (261 nucleotides) under uncultured bacterium. Its description in RNAcentral is "partial 16S ribosomal RNA". It matches the Rfam family "Bacterial small subunit ribosomal RNA", at positions 521 to 781 of the family's 1533-position model. The record is from RNAcentral.
UAAUACAGAGGGUGCAAGCGUUAAUCGGAAUUACUGGGCGUAAAGCGUGCGUAGAUGGUUAUGUAAGUCGGAUGUGAAAGCCCCGGGCUCAACCUGGGAAUUGCAUUCGAGACUGCAUAGCUAGGAUGCGGAAGAGGGAAGCGGAAUUUCCGGUGUAGCGGUGAAAUGCGUAGAUAUCGGAAGGAACACCAGUGGCGAAAGCGGCUUCCUGGUCCAGCAUCGACGUUCAGGCACGAAAGCGUGGGGAGCAAACAGGAUUAG